CCUACGGGAGGCAGCAGUGAGGAAUAUUGGUCAAUGGGCGGAAGCCUGAACCAGCCAAGUCGCGUGAGGGAAUAAGGCCCUACGGGUUGUAAACCUCUUUUGCCGGGGAGCAAGGGCCGGGACGAGUCCCGGUCCGGAGAGUACCCGGAGAAAAAGCAUCGGCUAACUCCGUGCCAGCAGCCGCGGUAAUACGGAGGAUGCGAGCGUUAUCCGGAUUUAUUGGGUUUAAGGGGUGCGUAGGCGGGCCAUUAAGUCAGCGGUAAAAAUUCGGGGCGAAACCCCGUCCGGCCGUUGAAACUGGGGGCCUUGAGUGGGCGAGAAGAAGGCGGAAUGCGUGGUGUAGCGGUGAAAUGCAUAGAUAUCACGCAGAACCCCGAUUGCGAAGGCAGCCUUCCGGCGCCCUACUGACGCUGAGGCACGAAAGUGCGGGGAUCGAACAGGAUUAGAUACCCGAGUAGUC
This 460-nucleotide ribosomal RNA is filed under the name uncultured bacterium. Its description in RNAcentral is "partial 16S ribosomal RNA". It matches the Rfam family "Bacterial small subunit ribosomal RNA", at positions 338 to 795 of the family's 1533-position model. The record is from RNAcentral.